AGAAGAAAUAAACCAACCUUCUGAUUUUCUCAAACUCAAUUUAGAUAAAAUUCAUAUCACAACCAUGAACUUAAUCACACGUACGAGAAAGUUUGUAGUGCACAUAAGUAGCUGUUUGCUCUUAGAUCAUGUGAAACGAGCAGUCUGUCUCGACAUGACUGCUUGAGUGAACAUUUCACUUCUUGAUUGGUGAAUACAAGCUUCCAAGAUCUUUUCUUUAGGCCUGAGAUACCAGGAGUAUGAAAAGAUGGCUAGAGCAACAUCACCACUGCUGGAGUAGUUUCCAAGGUUAACCCUCACCAAAAAUUGUAUCAACACCUAGCUAUAUUUCAUCCCAGUUGGGAGUGCAGUUCUUUCUGAUGAGAGCGAGGUUCUAAUGCAAUUCUUACUUUGAAGUGUGGAACUGCGGUUCUGAAGUGAAUUUGCACCCCCCAAUGGGAGGUUGUUGCAACUAUAUAAUUCCCAAAUAUGUGACUAGUACAUUUGUGAAUCUUGACUAAAUUGCAAUUUUGGAAAAGUGGUUGUGACCGAAUCAUAAACUAAAUUAAAAAAUGUUUAUAAAUUUUAGUUUCCUUGUAUAUGGUUGUGAAAAUGAAUAAGUAGAUGUGGAGUUUGUUUUCUUCUUAAGUGAGUCUGAUGCUUUAUUCCUUUUCCACCAGUUUGUGUUAUUCAUUUUCCUAGAACUGUGUGUCAAACAGGUGCAAUUAAAUCUCAAAGAAGGACAUGGUAUAAUAUCUCUCAAAGAUCAACUCUCAGGUUGAGACUGGAGGCAAUGCAGGUGUCCUCUUCAAGACGCACCCUAACAUCAACAAAGAGCUGUUUUCCAAUGGAUUGUAUUUUUUUCAUAAAAGAACUUUUUCCAAGUUUUUAGUUGUAAUAACUCACAUAUGACUCCAAUUUUGAAACUCAAAUGGAAUGCCUGAUUAAACUACAAUGCUAUACUCGUUUAAAUUCUUGUCA
This is a non-coding RNA of Camellia sinensis, 960 nucleotides long. The record is from RefSeq and is a predicted model, not a curated record. Lineage: Eukaryota; Viridiplantae; Streptophyta; Magnoliopsida; Ericales; Theaceae.